This 618-nucleotide ribosomal RNA is filed under the name Carlito syrichta (Philippine tarsier). RNAcentral describes it as "partial 12S ribosomal RNA". It matches the Rfam family "Bacterial small subunit ribosomal RNA", at positions 373 to 1361 of the family's 1533-position model. The record is from RNAcentral. Lineage: Eukaryota; Metazoa; Chordata; Mammalia; Primates; Tarsiidae.
AAACGAAAGUUUGACUAAGUUAUACUAGAUAUAUCAGGGUUGGUAAAUUUCGUGCCAGCCACCGCGGUCAUACGAUUAACCCAAACUAAUAAAUAUACGGCGUAAAGCGUGUUUAAUCUAUACUUAAACUAAAGUUAAAUCCCGACUAAGCUGUAAAAAGCUCCAGUCUGACUUAAAAUAAUCUACGAAAGUGACUUUAAUAUCUUUGAAGACACGACAGCUAAGGUCCAAACUGGGAUUAGAUACCCCACUAUGCUUAGCCAUAAACAUAAAUAAAUAUAAACAAAUUUAUUCGCCAGAGUACUACAAGCAACAGCUUAAAACUCAAAGGACUUGGCGGUGCUUCACACCCCUCUAGAGGAGCCUGUUCUAUAACCGAUAAACCCCGAUCAACCUUACCACCUCUUGCUAAUUCAGUCUAUAUACCGCCAUCUUCAGCAAACCCUAAUAAAGGUUUUAAAGUAAGCACAAGUAUAAACAUAAAAACGUUAGGUCAAGGUGUAACCUAUGAGGUGGAAAGCAAUGGGCUACAUUCUCUAUCUUAGAGUAUUACGAAUAUUCUUAUGAAAAUAAGAAUUAAAGGAGGAUUUAGUAGUAAAUCAAGAAUAGAGAGCUUGA